This 1032-nucleotide ribosomal RNA is filed under the name Triticum aestivum (bread wheat). Its description in RNAcentral is "partial small subunit ribosomal RNA". Lineage: Eukaryota; Viridiplantae; Streptophyta; Magnoliopsida; Poales; Poaceae. The record is from RNAcentral.
AUGGACGCACGGAUGAGGCUGAUAAUCCAGGCAGCAGCACAGAUUAGUGUGAUUCAGGCAUGGGUCAUGUUCAUGCACCAGAGAGUUGUUCGUCGUGUUGGGAGACCGUUGAUCCGCUAUGGUCCAUUGUUUCCCCGAGAACAGGAGAGGAUCCAAAAUCUGAACUACAUCUACAACUGCAAUGACGUCGAGGCUCUGCGGAUGCUUAGAAUGAAAAGAGCACCAUUUGCCAGGCUUGUCGAGACCUUCAGGAGCAGGGGCCUGUUACAAGAUAGCAUCAACACCAGUGUCGAAGAGCAAGUGGCCAUGUUCCUCCAUGUUGUUGGCCAUAACCAGAGGUUCAGGUUCAUUCACAACACAUUCAGGAGAUCAAUGGAGACCAUCUCUAGGUACUUCAAGCAGGUGCUUUUUGCUGUUGGGGAGCUUAGAGGAGAGAUGAUCAGGAGACCAUCUAGCCAGACUCCACCCAAGAUUCGCGGAAGCCCAAGAUGGUAUCCAUACUUCAAGGACUGCGUUGGGGCAAUAGAUGGUACUCAUGUCACUGCCAGAGUUCCUAGGUCACAGUCUACAGCAUACAUGGGGAGGAAGCACUACACAAGCCAGAAUGUGCUUGCUGCUGUUGACUUUGAUCUGAAGUUCACAUAUGUGCUGGCUGGCUGGGAGGGGUCAAUGCAUGAUGCAAACAUUCUCACUGACAGUAUGAGUCGACCUGAUGGGAUCAACAUCCCCGAUGGCAAGUUAUACCUUGGAGAUGCUGGCUAUGCAUGUCGGCCGGGUAUUGUUCCACCCUUCAGGAAAACAAGGUACCAUCUCAAUGAGUUCUCUGGUAGGAACUUUCCUAGGACUGCACAGGAGCUGUUUAAUCUUAGACACUCCAGCCUUAGAGUAACUGUUGAGAGGGCAUUUGGAGCUCUGCAGAAUAGGUUUAAGAUCGUGGAUCAGAAGCCAUUCCACCCAUACUCCACUCAAGUUAAGCUAGUUCUUGCUUGUUGCAUUCUACAUAACUGGAUCCUCCAGUGGGGCUUUGAUUAA